UACGCCCGAUCUCGUCCGAUCUCGGAAGCUAAGCAGGGUCGGGCCCGGUUAGUACUUGGAUGGGAGACCGCCUGGGAAUACCAGGUGCUGUAAGCCU
This 97-nucleotide ribosomal RNA is filed under the name Esox cisalpinus. Lineage: Eukaryota; Metazoa; Chordata; Actinopteri; Esociformes; Esocidae. The record is from RNAcentral.